This 475-nucleotide ribosomal RNA is filed under the name uncultured Caldilineaceae bacterium. Its description in RNAcentral is "bacterial SSU rRNA". It matches the Rfam family "Bacterial small subunit ribosomal RNA", at positions 28 to 505 of the family's 1533-position model. The record is from RNAcentral. Lineage: Bacteria; Bacillati; Chloroflexota; Caldilineae; Caldilineales; Caldilineaceae.
GAUGAACGCUGGCGGCGUGCUUAACACAUGCAAGUCGAACGUGAAAUUUGGAAUGAGCAUUUCGAUGUGAUUUUCGGAUGGAAAGUGGCGGACGGGUGAGUAACACGUGGAUAACCUGCCUCGAAGUGGGGGACAACCAUUAGAAAUGAUGGCUAAUACCGCAUAAUCCUUUGGAUGCUUGAGCAUUCAUAGGUAAAACUCCGGUGCUUCGAGAGGGGUCUGCGUCCGAUUAGUUAGUUGGGGGGGUAACGGCCCACCAAGACGAUGAUCGGUAGCUGGUCUGAGAGGACGAUCAGUCACACGGGAACUGAGACACGGUCCCGACUCCUACGGGGGGCAGCAGUGAGGAAUAUUGCACAAUGGGGGAAACCCUGAUGCAGCAACGCCGCGUGGAGGACGAAGGCUUCGGUUGUAAACUCCUUUUAUGAGGGAAGAGUAAGGACGGUACCUCAUGAAUAAGUCACGGCUAACUACG